Molecule: long non-coding RNA, 505 nt
Organism: Haliotis rubra (blacklip abalone)
Lineage: Eukaryota; Metazoa; Mollusca; Gastropoda; Lepetellida; Haliotidae
Exons: 3
Source: RefSeq, a predicted model, not a curated record
AUACUGGUAAUGUUGUUCUGAGGAGACCUCUAACAGGAAACCCAGAUUCAGUGUAUGAGUUCCAGGCUCUUGUACGUGACAAAGGUGUACCAUCCCGGGAGCAGUCACAACGAGCAACUGUGAGAAUUACUGUCCGCCGCAACAACAAUGCCCCCUUCUUUGUUGGUAGCCCCUACUCAGUUACAAUCAAUGAAGAUCAAGCUGUGGGGUCACAGAUCCUACCUGUUGUUGCACAGGACUCUGAUGUCAAUAGUCCAUUUAACCAAGUGACACUUCGUGUGAUUGGUGAUGAGAAAGGACCAAUAUACUUUGGUUUGGCCAACAAUCAAAUCAAUGUCACUAGGAACCUUAUUUUGGACGCAGAAAAUGAUCUCCGUUAUACACUGCGCAUUGAAGCAAGAGAUGGAGGGUCCCCUGCCCGUUCUGCCACAGCGUUGGUUUACAUAACUGUCAACAGGAACCUUAAUCCUCCGGUGUUCACUACCCAAGCUUACAGUGCCAGGAU